UAGCUUCCUGAUUAGAUUGGCUUAAUAACCAAAUUAUUGAUUUUGUGAGUGGUCGAACCAGGUAUGUUUCGAGCCUUAAAAGAUUGACAUGUUGGCAAAAUUGCUAGUUUGAUAGUAUGAAUGUUUGAUUGAGUUUGUAAUUGCAUAUCUGAGUUAUGAGAUAUGAGAAUGUUUGACUGAAUGAUAUAAUGUGUUGAGAUAUUAGGCUUAUGUGUGAUUUAA
Molecule: long non-coding RNA, 222 nt
Filed under: Gossypium barbadense (sea-island cotton)
Lineage: Eukaryota; Viridiplantae; Streptophyta; Magnoliopsida; Malvales; Malvaceae
Description: long non-coding RNA (GBAR_LNC007507)
Source: RNAcentral